AGUUGAAGUGAAGUGAACAAAGAAGAGAAGAAUCUUCGGAUUCGGAUCUAAUGCGUUGACUCUUUCCAAAGUCAAUGUAUGGGUAUUCAUUUAUCUAUAUAUUGUGUUUGGUCGUUUACUGUGAGAAAAUUAGAGUGUUCAAAGCAGACGUUUGUUUGAAUACAUUAGCAUGGAAUAAUCAUAUAAGGCUUUCAUGUGUAUUUGAUUGGUUUGGAUAUGAAAGCAAGGUUAAUAGGGACAGUUGGGGGUAUUCAUAUUCAAUAGUCAGAGGUGAAAUUCUCGGAUUUAUGGAAGAUGAACAAAUGCGAAA
This 310-nucleotide ribosomal RNA is filed under the name Blastocystis sp. NV-2012. RNAcentral describes it as "bacterial SSU rRNA". The stretch from base 113 to 310 matches the Rfam family "Eukaryotic small subunit ribosomal RNA", at positions 749 to 950 of the family's 1831-position model. The record is from RNAcentral. Lineage: Eukaryota; Bigyra; Opalinata; Blastocystidae.